UACGGGGGGGGCAAGCGUUGUUCGGAAUUACCGGGCGUAAAGGGCUCGUAGGCGGCCAACUAAGUCAGACGUGAAAUCCCUCAGCUUAACUGGGGAACUGCACCUGAAACUGCCUGGCUAGAGUCCCGGAGAGGAAGGCAGAAUUCCCGGUGUAGGGGUGAAAUCCGUAGAUAUCGGGAGGAAUACCAGCGGCGAAGGCGGCCUUCUGGACGGUGACUGACGCUGAGACGCGAAAGCGUGGGGAGCAAACAGG
Molecule: ribosomal RNA, 253 nt
Filed under: uncultured bacterium
Lineage: Bacteria
Description: partial 16S ribosomal RNA
Rfam family: Bacterial small subunit ribosomal RNA
Source: RNAcentral